RNAcentral lists this ribosomal RNA (440 nucleotides) under uncultured bacterium. Its description in RNAcentral is "partial 16S ribosomal RNA". It matches the Rfam family "Bacterial small subunit ribosomal RNA", at positions 338 to 795 of the family's 1533-position model. The record is from RNAcentral.
CCUACGGGAGUCUGCAGUGAGGAAUAUUGGUCAAUGGGCGAGACCCUGAACCAGCAACGCCGCGUGAAGGAUGACUGCUUUCUGGUUGUAACACUCUGUCCUUUAUGGAAAUGAAGGAGGUAGCAGUGCAGUAAGCUCCGGCUAACUACGUGCCAGCAGCCGCGGUCAUACGUAGGGAGCGAGCGUUUUCCGGAUUUACUGGGUGUAAAGGGUGCGUAGGCGGCUUGGCAAGUCAGUAGUGAAAUUGAUGGGCUUAACGCAUGAAUUGCAAUUGAAACUGUCGAGCUUGAGUGAAGUAGAGGUAGGCGGAAUUCGCGGUGUAGCGGUGAAAUGCGUAGAGAUCGGGAGGAACACCAGUGGCGAAGGCGGCCUACUGGGCUUUAACUGACGUUGAGGCACGAAAGCGUGGGUAGCAAACAGGAUUAGAUACCCGAGUAGUC